AAUGAACGCUGGCGGCAUGCCUAACACAUGCAAGUCGAACGGCAGCACAGUAAGAGCUUGCGCUUACGGGUGGCGCGUGGCGGACGGGUGAGGAAUACAUCGGAAUCUUCUCUUUCGUGGGUGAUAACGUAGGGAAACGUAUGCUAAUACCGCAUACGUCCCACGGGUGUAAGCAGGGGAUCUUUUGGCCUUUUGCGAUUGUAUGAGCCGAUGUCGGAUUAGCUAGUUGGCUGGGUAAAGGCCCACCUAGGCGACGAUCCGUAGCUGGUCGGAGAGGAUGGUUAGCCGCACUGGAAGUGAGACAGGGCCCAGACGCCUAGAGGAAGCAGCAGUGCGGAAUACUGAGGAAGGGGCGCGAGCCUGAUCAAGCCAUACCGCGUGAGGGAUGAAGGCCUUCGGGUGGUAGAGCCCUGUUGUUGGGAGAGAAAAGCAGCAGGUUUAUACCGAGGUGUGAUGACGGUACCCAAAGAAUAAGCACCGGCUAACUUCGUG
RNAcentral lists this ribosomal RNA (492 nucleotides) under uncultured bacterium. Its description in RNAcentral is "partial 16S ribosomal RNA". It matches the Rfam family "Bacterial small subunit ribosomal RNA", at positions 29 to 507 of the family's 1533-position model. The record is from RNAcentral.